RNAcentral lists this long non-coding RNA (1017 nucleotides) under Ailuropoda melanoleuca (giant panda). Its description in RNAcentral is "lncRNA (ENSAMEG00000029266.1)". Lineage: Eukaryota; Metazoa; Chordata; Mammalia; Carnivora; Ursidae. The record is from RNAcentral.
AGGAUGGAAGCGGAUAAGGCAUUUUAAAAAGACAAUCCUAAACUUCACACUAUGACUGCAACAUCGAGUGUGUUCACACCAGAAGAUUCUGCCUCCGCUCUAGUGCAUCGCUAGGUGGGUGGUUCCCUACUCCCAGACUGUGGAUCCCCUGGAGGGCCAAAGUCUAGAGAAGAAACUCAACUCAAGCUUCUGGAAGGCGAGGGUAGGAGGCACAGAAAGCAGGAAACCGCCGAAGGCAGGUUGAACGUGGAAGAUGGGGGCCGAAGGACCUCACAGACAGCAUCACUAAGGGGUUCUUUUCAAAGACGGACUGGGGUUUUCUGGCCUUGGCUGAGGAUCACGGAACAGUCGACAGGCCAGGGGCUCUCCUACCUGACCCGGCAGCCACAGGACAACCUCGAGCACUAUUUGGGAAAGUGAGAAGGCUGAGUCUAAGGGGAGGUGAAGUCAGGAUAAGGUUCUGAGGGUGUGAAAAUCCACACCCAGUGGUUCCGGCCCUCUGGCUGCGUCCAGGGCACCAAGAGCAAGUGUGUCAACAUUUGCCCUGAAGCUCACAUCUACAGCUGGGGGACACCUGCUGGCCCUUGGCCCCCACCUGUCAGGAAAGGUCACUAGUCCUCAGGGGGGAUAGCCUGCUCUGGUCACCAGUCGGAGGGUUGGCAGAACUUUGAACAGCUGGGGAUUGGCACUCCCUGCCCAGAGCACUUCCUUCCCUGCUGCCCGCCUCUGGAGGGGGCUUCCAGAGACAGAAGGCACCUGGUGCUCAUUCCAGAGCCCACUGUCCGGGGCUGUAGACCCACAGGUUAACCCUCUGGGGCCACAGGCCUGGAUUCCUUGAUAGGCGAGCUCUCAAGCGCGGGGUAGGAAUUCUGCCAGAGCACCUCUUCCAGAGCAUGGCUGUGAGGAUUAGACCUGAAAAGGCCUUAGAACGGUGCCUGAAAUUAUGAUGCUCUUACAGGAGAAGCCAACAGAACCAAGCAAGGAAUAAGUGGAUGUGGAGAGGAGUGGGUGGGCCGG